RNAcentral lists this transfer RNA (72 nucleotides) under Camelus bactrianus (Bactrian camel). It matches the Rfam family "tRNA". Rfam says of the family: Transfer RNA (tRNA) molecules are approximately 80 nucleotides in length. RNAcentral also lists the same sequence under 2 other names. Lineage: Eukaryota; Metazoa; Chordata; Mammalia; Artiodactyla; Camelidae. The record is from Rfam by way of RNAcentral.
AGAGAAACAGCUCAGUGGUAGAGCACAUGCUUAGCAUGCAUGAGGUCCUGGGUUCAAUCCCCAGUUCCUCCA